CACUGCAGAGACGAAGGAUGUGGAUAAGGCACAGGCACACAUGCAUACGCCUACCUGGGCACAGGUAGCUCGGCCUCCGCAGAUUCCUAUGCGCGUUACUUGUUGCAAACAAACGCUGAGGGCUGCGGAGGGGGAACAGCACCACAGACUGAACCGGCUGCCCCUGCCCCAUGCUGGGCACCACCGGCCACAUUUAGCAGCGUCAUGAUCAUCAGGGCCCAGGCACUGGGCACUAGGCACAAGGGACUUAUGGCCAAAGCCAGCCGGACCGGACUGGAAAGGAAUUGGGCCCGAGAUUGGUUUGGCUCUAAAGAAGAAAGAUGCAACAUCGGCAAGCUUCAGGGCUGCAGCAUCAGGGUAUAGGACGGGGAUUUAACAUAAAUUUGGGAUAUCUGUUUUACUACGUAAUUGAUUUGGCUGUAAAAAUAAAAAAUAUUUACUUCAUCAAAAAAUGUAAA
Long non-coding RNA from Drosophila erecta, 458 nucleotides. RefSeq lists it as uncharacterized. Lineage: Eukaryota; Metazoa; Arthropoda; Insecta; Diptera; Drosophilidae. The record is from RefSeq and is a predicted model, not a curated record. The transcript is spliced from 2 exons.